Long non-coding RNA from Leptidea sinapis, 772 nucleotides. RefSeq lists it as uncharacterized. The record is from RefSeq and is a predicted model, not a curated record. The transcript is spliced from 5 exons. NCBI's taxonomy places the organism in Eukaryota, Metazoa, Arthropoda, Insecta, Lepidoptera, Pieridae.
CGGAGCCUCCAGUGACGUGCGAGUGACCGCGGCUGCCCGAGCUACAACCGCCUCUCAACUGUUCGCCAGCAGGCAUGUUCGACACGCCGAGGAUGUGGCGACAGCUGUGCGUGAUCGUCGUGGUAUGCGCGCUUGUGUGCUGCGACCUUAAGAGAGCCAAUAGUGGGCGCCAGGUGCGGCAGGACAGCGGCUUCUACCUCAGCGGGCGCUACGGCCGCUCGCUGCAGACCGUGCUCUCCGCCAGGAACGACAGGUUCUUCUUGGGCCAGCGCUAUGGCAAGAGAUCGUCUGCUCCGAGUGCCACCCUCGAGCGUUGGAAGAGAAACAUGUGUGAGUGUGCGCCGUCCCAUCUGUACACGAGGAGCGGAAGCCACAGAAGACCAGGAGUAGUGGUGUGAGUACCGUACCGUGACGUCACUGGCAGCUGCAUCACCAACACGGCCCCACGAGCCCGCGCCUUCCACACCUGAAUACAAUUAAUACUUUUAAAAAUUAAUAUUAAUUAUUAUUCAUAAGUGUAUUUGUUAUAUGUGACAUACCGACCGGUCUACAUCGACUUAACAAUUAAUGUUACGGUAAUGAUAGAACAAGAAUAAUACUGUCAUUGUAGCCUGAUGCAGUAGGUCUUGAACACCACUCUCGAUUUUGGAAAUAUCAAUUUAUAAAAAUAUAAGCCGCCGCCCGCCAUUCAGGUAAAAUUAAAUAGUUGAAGUCCUUUUUACCCGCUUUUUAUUAGCUUCACUUGUUUGUUUGUAACCGACUCAUUUGGGCG